CCUACGGGAGGCAGCAGUAGGGAAUAUUGGGCAAUGGAGGCAACUCUGACCCAGCCAUGCCGCGUGCAGGAUGAAGGCGUUAUGCGUUGUAAACUGCUUUUAUAUAGGAAGAAAGAGUUCUUGCGAGAACAGUUGACGGUACUAUAUGAAUAAGCACCGGCUAACUCCGUGCCAGCAGCCGCGGUAAUACGGAGGGUGCAAGCGUUGUCCGGAUUUAUUGGGUUUAAAGGGUGCGUAGGCGGUUUAUUAAGUCAGUGGUGAAAGACGGUCGCUCAACGAUUGCAGUGCCAUUGAUACUGGUAGACUUGAGUGAGAUUGAGGUAGCUGGAAUGGAUAGUGUAGCGGUGAAAUGCAUAGAUAUUAUCCAGAACACCAAUUGCGUAGGCAAGUUACUAAGUCUCAACUGACGCUGAGGCACGAAAGUGUGGGUAUCAAACAGGAUUAGAUACCCUGGUAGUCCACACUGUAAACGAUGAUAACUAACUGUUGGCUUUCGGGGUCNGUGUACAGAGAAUCGUUAAGUUAUCCACGUGGGGAGUACGCCGGCGAACGGUGAAACGUUAAGUGAAUUGACGGCGUAGAGACGUUGCCGACGGACGACGACGAGGGAGGAGG
Molecule: ribosomal RNA, 615 nt
Filed under: uncultured bacterium
Lineage: Bacteria
Description: bacterial SSU rRNA
Rfam family: Bacterial small subunit ribosomal RNA
Source: RNAcentral